This 477-nucleotide ribosomal RNA is filed under the name Ilyonectria sp. RNAcentral describes it as "eukaryotic LSU rRNA". The stretch from base 111 to 264 matches the Rfam family "5.8S ribosomal RNA". Lineage: Eukaryota; Fungi; Ascomycota; Sordariomycetes; Hypocreales; Nectriaceae. The record is from RNAcentral.
GACAUACCUAUUUGUUGCCUCGGCGGUGCCUGUUCCGACAGCCCGCCAGAGGACCCCAAACCCUGAUUACAUUUAAGAAGUCUUCUGAGUAAACCGAUUAAAUAAAUCAAAACUUUCAACAACGGAUCUCUUGGUUCUGGCAUCGAUGAAGAACGCAGCGAAAUGCGAUAAGUAAUGUGAAUUGCAGAAUUCAGUGAAUCAUCGAAUCUUUGAACGCACAUUGCGCCCGCUAGUAUUCUGGCGGGCAUGCCUGUCCGAGCGUCAUUUCAACCCUCAAGCCCCCGGGCUUGGUGUUGGGGAUCGGCGAGCCUCCGCGCCCGCCGUCCCCUAAAUCUAGUGGCGGUCUCGCUGUAGCUUCCUCUGCGUAGUAGCACACCUCGCACUGGGAAACAGCGCGGCCACGCCGUUAAACCCCCAACUUCUGAACGUUUGACCUCGGAUCAGGUAGGAAUACCCGCUGAACUUAAGCAUAUCAAU